AAGUGCAUCACCAGAAGAGUGAUGCAACAAACCACCUUCCUCACUCUAGAACAAGACCUGUUCCAUGAGCAAGAAGCAACAAUAAACAUCCCAUACUCGAAACGAGGCAGCCAAAGACAGAAAGAAGAAAGGAACGGCUGGGAUACCAGAAACAGACAGACUCACUCAUCCUCAGCCAGCUGAACCCAAAAGACAAAUCAGCACCAUGGACCAAGUCUAAGGCAUAAAAACAAGUUUCUCCUCAAAGAUGGCAUGUACUGUGAGAGAGAACUGGUUAAGAUGUUUAAUCUUGCUGGGUGCUGGAGACAGGACCCAGCGCUUACACACUGGGUUAUACAACAACCGCUGGAGGAUGAGCCAAGCUGCCUACAAGUUAUGCAAGGAACUGAAGGAAAAUAGUUUUUGUGAGUCAUCAUUCCUUCUGGGGUCAGAAAUUCAGUGAUGGAGAUGCCUUUGAGUCAUCCAUGUUUCAGUCUAGAAGAGACAGAAAAAUACUCAAGACAAAUACUCAAAUCACAUUCAACAUUCUUACAGUCCUGUUUCUAAGCCCUUGCGGGGAGAGGAGGAGGGAGAUGCUGGGGAGUAAACCCUGGCCCACGCACACUAUGGUACUACACUGCCUCCAGUCCUGAAAGAAAUUCUGCUGUCAUUUUACUUUGUGACUUUUAAGACCUCGUUUACUGCCAGACAUGUACUCAGGGCUUCAAGAACAUGAGUUAUUUAAAGGACCGAAGGCAGAGCUGAGAAGCCCGACCAUCUCACGGCACAAACCUGUAUCUGUGCCAUAAAAAGCAGAAGGCAUCUAUCUCAUGAGUGGCUGGUGCCAGCAGGAGCUGACUCACAGAGCAAGUCCCACCAACUGGCAGCCUGACUCAAUGGGAACAACUGCAGUAGUAGUCAAUGGAGGCGGGAAGCAGCAGAGAACAAGACCAGAAAAUGCUACAGUGAGGGGGCAGUGACGACGUAACACUUCCUCUCCACCAUAAUCAUUCAGCUUAUGAGUCAAAUGGCCAACAAAAAAACCAAAAGACACCCACAGCAAUAAAUCAAUGAAAAACAUUACCAACUUUAAAUACAGUCAUACUGCAGAAAUACUGGUACUCAAGAAAAUUGGACACUUAAUUCAAAUUUUUAAGAGUUUGGUUUAAAGGCUAAGAAAAAAAAUUUGUUUGUUUUGUUUUUUUGCCAGCAUGUACCAAGAUUUGAGAACAAGUACUAAGAGUUAAACUAUGGCUACCUAAAGCCUAAUGUGCAUCAGGAUCCCAGGGGACUUGGACCUAGUGCAUAGUGUGUGUGGUUCCAUGGGUGUGGGUGGGCCUCAGAACUUACAUUUCUUCUCUGUAAUUUUUAUUAAUAAUUUCAUGAAUGUACCUAAUAUAUUUUGCUCAUUUCUACCCUAAUUAUCCACUCUCAUGCCCAUCCCACUCCUGAUGACUGCCUUAUUGCCAAGAAGUCUCAGCC
Non-coding RNA from Peromyscus maniculatus bairdii (prairie deer mouse), 1461 nucleotides. The record is from RefSeq and is a predicted model, not a curated record. NCBI's taxonomy places the organism in Eukaryota, Metazoa, Chordata, Mammalia, Rodentia, Cricetidae.